UCAGCUUCUUGGCCUUUUGGCUAAGAUCAAGUGUAGUAUAAAAAAAUCAACUGCACAUAUAUUAGAUGAUAAAAACUUGUUUUUGGCAGUUCAUGUGGAAAAAAAAUAAAGGUUUAACUGACCCAGU
This 127-nucleotide small nuclear RNA is filed under the name Catagonus wagneri (Chacoan peccary). RNAcentral describes it as "U2 spliceosomal RNA (ENSCWAG00000012070.1)". It matches the Rfam family "U2 spliceosomal RNA". Rfam says of the family: U2 is a small nuclear RNA (snRNA) component of the spliceosome (involved in pre-mRNA splicing). Complementary binding between U2 snRNA (in an area lying towards the 5' end but 3' to hairpin I) and the branchpoint sequence (BPS) of the intron results the bulging out of an unpaired adenosine, on the BPS, which initiates a nucleophilic attack at the intronic 5' splice site, thus starting the first of two transesterification reactions that mediate splicing. Lineage: Eukaryota; Metazoa; Chordata; Mammalia; Artiodactyla; Tayassuidae. The record is from Rfam by way of RNAcentral.